This 497-nucleotide ribosomal RNA is filed under the name uncultured bacterium. Its description in RNAcentral is "partial 16S ribosomal RNA". It matches the Rfam family "Bacterial small subunit ribosomal RNA", at positions 28 to 507 of the family's 1533-position model. The record is from RNAcentral.
GAUGAACGCUGGCGGCGUGCCUAAUACAUGCAAGUCGAGCGAACAGACGAGGAGCUUGCUCCUCUGACGUUAGCGGCGGACGGGUGAGUAACACGUGGAUAACCUACCUAUAAGACUGGGAUAACUUCGGGAAACCGGAGCUAAUACCGGAUAAUAUAUUGAACCGCAUGGUUCAAUAGUGAAAGACGGUUUUGCUGUCACUUAUAGAUGGAUCCGCGCCGCAUUAGCUAGUUGGUAAGGUAACGGCUUACCAAGGCAACGAUGCGUAGCCGACCUGAGAGGGUGAUCGGCCACACUGGAACUGAGACACGGUCCAGACUCCUACGGGAGGCAGCAGUAGGGAAUCUUACGCAAUGGGCGGAAGCCUGACGGAGCAACGCCGCGUGAGUGAUGAAGGUCUUCGGAGCGUAAAACUCUGUUAUUAGGGAAGAACAAAUGUGUAAGUAACUAUGCACGUCUUGACGGUACCUAAUCAGAAAGCCACGGCUAACUACGUG